UACGUAGGGCGCAAGCGUUGUCCGGAAUUAUUGGGCGUAAAGAGCUCAUAGGCGGCUUGUCACGUCGGGUGUGAAAGCCCGGGGCUUAACCCCGGGUCUGCAUUCGAUACGGGCUAGCUAGAGUGUGGUAGGGGAGAUCGGAAUUCCUGGUGUAGCGGUGAAAUGCGCAGAUAUCAGGAGGAACACCGGUGGCGAAGGCGGAUCUCUGGGCCAUUACUGACGCUGAGGAGCGAAAGCGUGGGGAGCGAACAGG
This 253-nucleotide ribosomal RNA is filed under the name uncultured bacterium. Its description in RNAcentral is "partial 16S ribosomal RNA". It matches the Rfam family "Bacterial small subunit ribosomal RNA", at positions 524 to 776 of the family's 1533-position model. The record is from RNAcentral.